Molecule: ribosomal RNA, 498 nt
Filed under: uncultured bacterium
Lineage: Bacteria
Description: bacterial SSU rRNA
Rfam family: Bacterial small subunit ribosomal RNA
Source: RNAcentral
GCGGCGACCUGGUGAGUAACACGUGGAUAAUCUACCUUUAAGUUGGGGAUAAGCUUCCGAAAGGGGGUCUAAUACCGAAUAAUAUCGUUGGAUGGCCUCAUCCGACGAUCAAAGGCGGCGCAAGCUGUCGCUUAAAGAUGAGUCCGCGCUCCAUUAGCCAGUUGGCGGGGUAAGAGCCCACCAAAGCUACGAUGGAUAGCCGGCCUGAGAGGGUGUACGGCCACACUUGGAACUGAGAUACGGUCCAGACUCCUACGGGAGGCAGCAGUAGGGAAUAUUGCGCAAUGCUCGCAAGAGUGACGCAGCGACGCCGCGUGGGCGAUGAAGCUUCUUGGAGUGUAAAGCCCUGUCAGGAGGGACGAAUGAUCGCAGUCGUAACUGGCUGCGAUUUGACGGUACCUUCAGAGGAAGCUCCGGCCAACUCCGUGCCAGCAGCCGCGGUAACACGGGGGGAGCGAGCGUUGUACGGAAUUACUGGGUGUAAAGGGCUCGUAAGCU